Long non-coding RNA from Trematomus bernacchii (emerald rockcod), 503 nucleotides. RefSeq lists it as uncharacterized. Lineage: Eukaryota; Metazoa; Chordata; Actinopteri; Perciformes; Nototheniidae. The transcript is spliced from 2 exons. The record is from RefSeq and is a predicted model, not a curated record.
AAUGUACAGACUCAGUGACCACAGCCUGGCCGUAGAGACUGGCCGACACAGGCAGACCUGGCUGCCUAGAGAAGAGAGGCUGUGUCAGCUCUGUCCACAGAGACAGGUGGAGACAGAGCAACACUUCCUGCUGCACUGUCAAACAUACCAAGACAUUAGAACAAAGUUCUUUACAAAGAUAACAUGUAAACUCCAAGAUUUUGAAUCACUGUCUGACCAGAAUAAAAUGCAACAUGUACUUGGAGAAAAUAGUGCCAGCAGCAUAGAAGCAGCGAAAUAUGUGAGCGCAUGUCACAGCCUAAGAGACAGCAACAAUACAUAACAGCUGUUCCUCACAGCUCACUCUGAUCACUCCUCUACUUCAUUGGUCUCUUUUCUUUCUUUCUUUUUACAUUUCAUACUUGAGGUUUUGUAAUAACAUAUUGUUGUAAAUUGUUUAAUGAAUGAAUUGUAUUUGUAUUUUUUUUUCUUUUUCUUAUCAUAUCACUAUUGAAUUGUAUUAU